AACGCACCUUGCACCCUUUGGUAUUCCGAAGGGUAUGCCUGUUUGAGUGUCAUUAAAUUCUCAAUCCUUUAAAGCUUUAUUGUUUUGAGGGUAUUGGAUGUGGAGGUUAUUGCUGGCUUUAUUUACAAAGUUGGCUCCUCUUAAAUGCAUUAGUGGCUUCUUUGAAGGAUCCCCAUACAAUGGUGUGAUAGUAUAUCUACAUCAUAUAAUGGCUAGGUCAUGUAAAAGACAAAGGAGUUGCUCUCUAACCGUCCUUCAUUGGACAACCUGAACCAUUUGACCUCAAAUCAGGUAGGACUACCCGCUGAACUUAA
This 314-nucleotide unclassified non-coding RNA is filed under the name uncultured fungus. RNAcentral describes it as "partial contains 5.8S ribosomal RNA, internal transcribed spacer 2, and large subunit ribosomal RNA". The stretch from base 1 to 52 matches the Rfam family "5.8S ribosomal RNA", at positions 103 to 154 of the family's 154-position model. The record is from RNAcentral. Lineage: Eukaryota; Fungi.